ACGAACGCUGGCGGCGUGCCUAAUACAUGCAAGUCGAACGGUCUUUCUAUGGAAGCUUGCUUCCACUGAGAAGAUAGUGGCGAACGGGUGAGUAACACGUGGGUAACCUGCCCAUAAGAGGGGGAUAACAUCCGGAAACGGGUGCUAAUACCGCAUAGUUUUCUUGAUCGCAUGAUUGAGAAAGGAAAGACGGCCUUUGUGCUGUCGCUUAUGGAUGGACCCGCGGCGUAUUAGUUAGUUGGUGAGGUAACGGCUCACCAAGACGAUGAUACGUAGCCGACCUGAGAGGGUGAUCGGCCACAUUGGGACUGAGACACGGCCCAAACUCCUACGGGAGGCAGCAGUAGGGAAUCUUCCGCAAUGGACGAAAGUCUGACGGAGCAACGCCGCGUGAGUGAAGAAGGUUUUUCCGGAUCGUAAAACUCUGUUGUCAGAGAAGAACAAGUUGGAGAGUAACUGCUCCAGCCUUGACGGUAUCUGACCAGAAAGCCACGGCUAACUACGUGCCAGCCGCAGC
Molecule: ribosomal RNA, 517 nt
Filed under: uncultured bacterium
Lineage: Bacteria
Description: bacterial SSU rRNA
Rfam family: Bacterial small subunit ribosomal RNA
Source: RNAcentral